This is a long non-coding RNA of Papaver somniferum (opium poppy), 2893 nucleotides long. RefSeq lists it as uncharacterized. Lineage: Eukaryota; Viridiplantae; Streptophyta; Magnoliopsida; Ranunculales; Papaveraceae. The record is from RefSeq and is a predicted model, not a curated record. The transcript is spliced from 3 exons.
UCUUACUCUGCAACUAACUGGAAAUCUAAAAAGUUUGUUUUUUUCUUUUCAACCGGAAAUUUAGCGCCAAAUUUCUCCCUAAAAUUUUAGUGAAAUCAAAUUCCCUCCUAAAAUAUUUGUGAAAACUAAAUUUCACACUAAAACCCCACAAAGAACGCCCACACACCCAAACUUUUCGCAUCUCAUCAAAUAAAACACUUUCAGUUUUCUCUCUCUCAAAAAUAAAAAAAAAAAUCUCGAUCGAAACCCUAGAAAACGACUCACAUCUUCUUCUCAAAAUUAUCUUCCCAACUUAAAUAAAAACUCAUUCGCUCUAACUUAUACAGUCUUGAUUCACACACACAAAGACUCGAAAUCCGUAAUUUUCUAUUGCAGAAAUCAAAAGAAUUUUUGUCCAGAGAUCUAUGCAUCACUUCGGAUUUAUUUGGGGGCUUUUGGUUUUCGUCACGCGAGACUAAUAACAGGUUUUUUCUUUCUUUUUGAAGAUGCAAUUUAAAGAAGAGUAUGCUUCUGAUCCCUAUUUUUCUUAUUUUAUAGGCCUUCCGGGAUUUAGGUAGGAUUUUUCUGUAUUUGGUUCUCAUGUUUAAUUGAAUCUGAUUAUUGUUUUGUUAGAAUCGGGUUUGGUUCUAAUGUUCACUUGUACAAUAGGUAUUUGUGUGGUAUAUAUUUAGUCCAAAUCAUUGUGAAUGUAUGGAACCAAAUUGACCAUUACUAUGGUACUUCAAGCAAAAAAAGGGAGAUGUUACCUUGAAUUUAAAGUAUAAUCAAAAUAAAUAAACAAUUUCUUUACUACUGCAUAAAUGUGGUUUGACUAUGAACUAUUAAGCACUCUACCCUUUCACUUAUGUUUUAGUUUUGUUUUGAAAAUUGUUUUUUGUAUACCGGUUUAAAUUGAUUGCUUUUAUCCACAUCGAAAGCAAAGCAUCAGAUUCGUUUGACGAACGUAGUCAUAUAAGAACUAUUAUUACCCAUCGUAUCUAGUCAUACAAGAACUAUUAUUACCUCAUAUCUAAGCAUAUCCUGUUUGCCCGUUAUCUAACUUUCUUGCAACCGUCAGUUAUCUUAUAGAGGAAACUUUGUUGUUUUAUAAAGGCAACAAAAUGGGGAGCAAGGCCAGCACUCUAAUUUCGCAGCUACUUGUAAUAUGUUAAAGUCUUGUUUAAUACUGCUUAGUUUAGAUGUAUUUUUAGCUGUGCACAAAAUGCUUAUAUUUCUCUCUUAGCAGCUGCCAUUCUUAAAAAUAGAAAGGUUCAGGUGAUACCACUCUUGCAUCUUUCGUGGGAAAGAAACAACCUAAGGUAAAAGCUGAUUUGGAUGGAAAACCUAGUAGAGAGAAUCAAGUAUGAUAUUAUGAUGCCAUUGGGUAUUGCUUAAACAGCGACGCCUUUUGGCAAUUUGUAAGCUUAUGAGGCUAACGAUUAAUUAUGGUGAACAUACUCAGCAGAACUUUAUAUUAUGUUUGAUUAUUUAUUUUCCAUUUGAUUUGUCUAUUUAACUUAUAUAUAGACUGAAUGUCAAGUUUUUUGUUCUGUAAAUGAAUGUUAUAAAACAGCUACAGGUCUCUAUUGCUUGUGGAAUAUUUAAGAGGAAGAAAGCUAAAUGCCAAAAAAAACACUAAAAACACAACAACACACAUGUAGAUAAUUUGAUGACCCAAGGUGUGAACCAUAGGGGAGUGGAAGGGAUCAUUGGGAUGGUGAAGAGUAUCGAGUAAGUUCACACAUCUUAUAUUUAUGUGUUUAAGUUCUGGUAAUACAUUCAUGUAUAAUUAAUCCUGACUUGUACAUUUGUAAGAAACUCUCUGACCGAAAUGUCAAGAGUAUGUAUGUGUUUAAGUUUUGGUAAUACACUUAUGUCUUAUUCGUGUAUUUGUAAGAAUCUUUCCGACUGCAAUGUCAAGAGUUGAAGCCAACAAAAAGCAAAGCACACAAUUGGCAGGAAAAACCACUGUCAAUGCAAAGCUUAAAUGGUACGUACAUGCAUAUGUUGGUCUUUAUGGUUAACCUUCACUCUGCGACCCAAAGUUAUUCACGGUAUUGUUAUUUGGUUUUGGAUUUGUCUGUUUAUGGUCGAGUUAUUUCUUAUAUUGGUGUGUACAGCUAGUAGAGAAGAGUUAGGUUGGGAUACAUGAACCCCGAAACAUAAUUAUACCCUUAAAGUGGUUUCUAUCUGUAACAAUAUUUAAAUGGUAUUUCUUUCGUUUAGCAUGUUUAGCACUUGUGGAUAAUCUAUUUGGCUUAACUGCACACAAUUCCUUGUCAAAAAUGGGAAUACCAUCUAUGCUAGUAGACUGGGGAGAACUGUUUAGCACUUGUUGGUCAUCAUUAUGUAAGUAUCUCUUCCUUGAUUUUUAAUUCAUAUAAUUUGGGCAAUAUCUUAAGCAAAAAUGUGAGAUAACUGUAAGUGGUCAUAAUUGCAUGUAUGUUAGUAUAAUAUUUCUCUGCAUGUUAGUAUGAUACUUUUCUUAGAGUCCAGGAUUCCAUUGGUUUAUUUUGUUGAUGUAAAAUAAUAUUUCCUUAAGACGUUAGAGAUAGAUUUAGUAUUCCAUCUUGAAGAUGUUUUUCUUGUUAGAGCCCAUAUUAUCCAACUUUUUAUGAUAAAUCAAUUAACCCCUUCAAGCUUCCAUUGGACAUGAUUCUGUACAUUUUCUGAUGUUCUUCUUACUUGGUGGUCUUUGUUUUGAUUUAUUUAGCAGGUGCUCGUGUCCUAGGAACAGUGGAUAAAAUGACUCUAGUUUGAAGUAUAAGGUUUCUUUACUUUCGAUCGAUGUUGAUUAAGAUGGGAGAUUGUGUAAAAUAUUUUGUUUCUUUUUUUUACGAUGAAAUGGGGCUCACGACUUUGUAACAAAUACUGUGUUUUUAACGAAAUUAAAUUUCGUUGUUUUAAUCCAAUU